Molecule: ribosomal RNA, 305 nt
Filed under: uncultured bacterium
Lineage: Bacteria
Description: bacterial SSU rRNA
Rfam family: Bacterial small subunit ribosomal RNA
Source: RNAcentral
GCCUACGGGACGCAGCAGUGAGGAAUAUUGGUCAAUGGGCGGGAGCCUGAACCAGCCAAGCCGCGUGAGGGAAGAAGGUACAGCGUAUCGUAAACCUCUUUUGUCAGGGAACAAAGGCGGGGACGUGUCCCCGGAUGAGUGUACCUGAAGAAAAAGCAUCGGCUAACUCCGUGCCAGCAGCCGCGGUAAUACGGAGGAUGCGAGCGUUAUCCGGAUUUAUUGGGUUUAAAGGGUGCGCAGGCGGUCUGUUAAGUCAGCGGUCAAAGCCCGGGGCUCAACCCCGGCCCGCCGUUGAAACUGGCAGG